AGUGAACGCUGGCGGUAGGCCUAACACAUGCAAGUCGAACGGCAGCACAGUAAGAGCUUGCUCUUACGGGUGGCGAGUGGCGGACGAGUGAGGAAUACAUCGGAAUCUACUUUUUCGUGGGGGAUAACGUAGGGAAACUUACGCUAAUACCGCAUACGACCUACGGGUGAAAGCAGGGGAUCUUCGGACCUUGCGCGAUUGAAUGAGCCGAUGUCGGAUUAGCUAGUUGGCGGGGUAAAGGCCCACCAAGGCGACGAUCCGUAGCUGGUCUGAGAGGAUGGUCAGCCAGACUGGAACUGAGACACGGUCCAGACUCCUACGGGAGGCAGCAGUGGAGAAUAUUGGACAAUGGGCGCAAGCGUGAUCCAGCCAUACCGCGUGGGUGAAGAAGGCCUUCGGGUUGUAAAGCCCUUUUGUUGGGAAAGAAAAGCAGCAGGUUAAUACCCCGCUGUUCUGACGGUACCCAAAGAAUAAGCACCGGCUAACUUCGUG
RNAcentral lists this ribosomal RNA (492 nucleotides) under uncultured bacterium. Its description in RNAcentral is "partial 16S ribosomal RNA". It matches the Rfam family "Bacterial small subunit ribosomal RNA", at positions 29 to 507 of the family's 1533-position model. The record is from RNAcentral.